AACAGGGGGUCCUUGGAACCCUCCAAAAGAUGUCGCCACUCCUUGAGGGCAAGAAUAAUGGCCAACAGUUCUCUAUUGCCAAUAUCGUAGUUGCGCUCAGCAGGAGACAUCUUUCUGGAGAAGUAGCCACAAGGAUGCAAUGGUGUUCCCUGGCUUUCUCUCUGAGAGAGAACAGCCCCUACCCCUGUCUCGGAUGCAUCAACCUCCAAUAUAAAAGGUUU
Pelobates cultripes (western spadefoot toad) is the source of this 221-nucleotide non-coding RNA. The record is from the annotation of a GenBank genome assembly. NCBI's taxonomy places the organism in Eukaryota, Metazoa, Chordata, Amphibia, Anura, Pelobatidae.